AUGAUGAGAAUCACGGACUGGCUGCCCCCUGCACGCCCCACACUGGGAAUCGAGCCCGCAACCCGGGCCUGUGCCCUGACUGGGAAUCGAACUGUCACCUCCGGGUUCCUAGCUCGAUGCUUAACCACUGAGCCACACUGGCCAGGCUGA
Long non-coding RNA from Pipistrellus kuhlii (Kuhl's pipistrelle), 150 nucleotides. RefSeq lists it as uncharacterized. The record is from RefSeq and is a predicted model, not a curated record. The transcript is spliced from 2 exons. NCBI's taxonomy places the organism in Eukaryota, Metazoa, Chordata, Mammalia, Chiroptera, Vespertilionidae.